RNAcentral lists this ribosomal RNA (443 nucleotides) under uncultured bacterium. Its description in RNAcentral is "partial 16S ribosomal RNA". It matches the Rfam family "Bacterial small subunit ribosomal RNA", at positions 338 to 795 of the family's 1533-position model. The record is from RNAcentral.
CCUACGGGUGGCAGCAGUGGGGAAUAUUGGGCAAUGGGCGCAAGCCUGACCCAGCAACGCCGCGUGAAGGAAGAAGGCUUUCGGGUUGUAAACUUCUUUUCUCAGGGACGAAGAAAGUGACGGUACCUGAGGAAUAAACCACGGCUAACUACGUGCCCGCAGCCGCGGGAAUACGUAGGUGGCAAGCGUUAUCCGGAUUUAUUGGGUGUAAAGGGCGUGUAGGCGGGAGCGCAAGUCAGAUGUGAAACCUCAGGGCUCCACCCUGAGCCUGCAUUUGAAACUGUGUUUCUUGAGUUCUGGAGAGGCAAUCGGAAUUCCGUGUGUAGCGGUGAAAUGCGUAGAUAUACGGAGGAACACCAGUGGCGAAGGCGGAUUGCUGGACAGUAACUGACGCUGAGGCGCGAAAGCGUGGGGAGCAAACAGGAUUAGAUACCCCAGUAGUC